This is a non-coding RNA of Oryza glaberrima (African rice), 60 nucleotides long. NCBI's taxonomy places the organism in Eukaryota, Viridiplantae, Streptophyta, Magnoliopsida, Poales, Poaceae. The record is from Rfam.
AGCAAAAUGAGGAGGUCAAUUGAUCUGAAGUAUCUAGUGUUGAUACAUCCAUUCUUUUCU